RNAcentral lists this long non-coding RNA (1431 nucleotides) under Homo sapiens (human). RNAcentral describes it as "HSALNT0336392". Lineage: Eukaryota; Metazoa; Chordata; Mammalia; Primates; Hominidae. The record is from RNAcentral.
AGUUUUGUCAAUAGUGUCUCAUGUGCAUUUUCUGAGUGUGAAGAGGAUUUGGGUAGGCAAGACUAGAGAACAGCAGGAAGUCAUUGCCUAUUAAAUUUUUAUUUCCAGCCAUUCACUGAUGUAUUGGUAAGAGGACAGGAGUCCUGGGGAAAGACUGCCUCAUUUACACUCCAAAGACUUGGGUUCUGAUCUCCAUGUCGUGGCUUAUCAUAGUGUAAGCCAGUUAUGUACCUCUAGAAAUGGAAGUUUCUGCUGUUUAUAAACUGGAAAUAAUGAUACAUGUCCUGACUCCUAUUGGGUUGUUGCAAAGGAAUCAAUUGAAAUAAGACAAGACUUUCUGAAGGCACUUUGCCAACUUUCAGAACUGUAAAGAUUAAGGGACUGCUACUAUGUGCUGCUCAGGAAAUAACAGGCACCUGGGAAAACCCACGAAGUAAGGUUUUGUAAGAAGUUGCUCUGCUCCCUGGGAGAAAACGCGGAGCUCAACACUGCCAAGAGGAACAAGUCUGGGAAAUUACGACAUGAGGGCCCUUGUGAAUUGAUGAAUAUGAAGACACUAAGAAAGCAGAAAUAGAACUGAGAAGAAUGAAAUAACUGUCUCUACCUUUCUCGAAUUGUCUAAUAUGGAAAGAAUGAAAGACAGCUAAUAAGCAACUCUCUGCAAGAAGACAUAUGGCUUAGAAUCUACUUGGAGAGAGUCAAACACAGAAUCCCUUUGAAUUUAAUGGCCAUUCCAGGUGAUUUGAACAGCCAAAUAAGAAACAGGUCCUCUUCAAUGUACAAUCUGCCAAGUAUGAAGUCUGAAUGACCAUCAUUAUUAUGUAUUUAAUGUGCAUAGAAAAUCUAUCUGCAACCUUCCAGAGUGUACCAGAAGUUUGGAAUGUACAUUAUUAUUGGCUCCAUCUCAAACCACUCAUAAAUCAAAGAAAAUAGCAGUUCCAGAGGAAUCAUCAUAGAGGCUUCUAGGCCCCCAUGCUGUGUGAACCUGGUGAGAAAGGGAAGUCUGCUCUCACUGGACACUGGAACUGUUUGUCUCUGUCUCUGCUGUACUUUCCCUGCCUCUACCUCACUUAGUAAAGAAAUCAUCUUUGCUUGAUAACUAAAACAACCAAUAAGGCUGAGAAAGGGGAAAACCCACAUCUGGAUUUAAAUACAAGGUAUUGGGCCAGCUGCUGGGGAUUAAACUUUGAACAAAACAGAUAGAAUCUAUGUCCUCAUGGGAGUGGCUAAUGGGAGAGUCGGAACAAAAAAAUAGCCAAGGAUAAUCCAGCAAAUGAUUUGGUGAAUGCUAUCAAAGAGAGAAAUACACAUGCUCUGGGAACACCAAACAGAGUCUUGCUCUUGUUGCCCAGGCUGGAGUAUGAUGGUGCGAUCUCAGUUCACUGCAACCCCUGCCUCCCAGGUUCAAGUGAUUCUCCUACCUCAGCCUCC